CUUGCGAAGUCAUGCUGACACAGGAGGGAUGCGCAUGACACUGUGCCACUGUCCUUGGAGCAGUCCUUCUGUGAUGUCAUUGCCUUGCUCAGGGCCCCUCUGCAGCUUCUCAUUGCUGUAAAGACUUUAAUCCCCAACAUGUCACGCAGGGAUCUUUUUAGGUCUGACCUCUGACUUGCUCUCUGGUUCAGCCGACAUCACCCAAAGAGCCAGGUGUGUGCAGGGCGCUGCCAGCAGUUGAUUCAUUAAAUAUUUGUGAAGUGCCCGUUGUGUCCCAGGCACAGGGCUUGGCACAGCCUGCUGUUGUCAGAGCAGGACUUGGGGACCAGGGGAUGGAGUGGAACAGCCCUGGGUAGGGCUGCAGAGACAGGUUCUGGAGGCCUCCUGUGCCAGUCUAAGGAACUCAAACUUCAUUUCAUUGGUGAGAGGGAGUCCCUGAAAGAGUUUCAACUAACUUUAUGUGUGGAAUGAAUGGUAUCAGAAGGACUUAGUUUUUACGGAGAUGAAAGAUGCCACCAUUUAACAUAUAGCCUUCAAGUUAAAAAAGAAAUGGCAUCUCAACAUAAAGAAAAAAAAUCAUUUCCCUCCUAUGACCUUCUUUUUGGUAUCCUUGAACAAAUGUUUAUUCAGAAUUUUCCAAGGGCCUGGGCAGGGAUAGGUGCCCGUGCUACAGUACAGAACAAGACAUUUGGGUUCCUUUCCUAUGGAGCAUGUCAUUGGAUGAAACAGAUGAAUGGAAGAGCGACGUGUUAUGGAUGCUGCUAACGACGUUCUCAAUUAGGACUGAAGAAGCGUGUCUAACACUCUGGAAAACACAUCUCCCAACCCCCAAAGUGCCUGAGUUUAUGUAAAACAGAGAAAUUUUCUUCACUGUCAGGUUUCCUGCCUCUCACUUCACUCCCACAGCUGUGUGUUUGAAUAUUCAGAGGCAAGGUUGGAGGUAGGAGUCAAUUAUUUUGGGUGGGUUACUGUAUCUGAGCUGUUGGCUCCGGGGUAGAGGUAAAACACAGUGUAAGUAAAAACAGAGGUUUCUGAAAUGUUUGAGUUACUAUUCCGAAACUUCCCAUAUAAAAAUCCAUUUCUAAUGAAUUAUCUUAAAUUAAAAUUUAAUGGCCUCUAAAUUGUAUAUAAAGCAGGAGCACAAAAGCAGGCUCUGUGCAGAUAAACAUCAUUAGCGUGUAAGUGGGGAAAGUUUUUUAGCUUCUAUUUCCCUCUGGGUCUUCGAACUGCUCUGUGGGCCCUUUCCUGCCUAAUGUGAAUGCCAGUGUGCUUUUCUUUUUGACUUCCCCAGUGAACCUCCUGUGUGAUUAUGGAUUUGCCNNNNNNNNNNNNNNNNNNNNNNNNNNNNNNNNNNNNNNNNNNNNNNNNNNNNNNNNNNNNNNNNNNNNNNUUCGCCCCCCCCCUCACUGAAAAAAAAAAAAAAAAAAAAAACCAAACACCCCAAAGUGCUCAUUCUUUGCUGAUGUGCAACUUUACCUGCCAUCUGCACAUGCUCAUUCCGGCAGCUCCUCGUGAUCCUUCAACUCACAGGAAAUCCUUAGAGGAAUAAAAAGGACAGGCCCACCCCCA
This is a long non-coding RNA of Vulpes vulpes (red fox), 1569 nucleotides long. NCBI's taxonomy places the organism in Eukaryota, Metazoa, Chordata, Mammalia, Carnivora, Canidae. The record is from Ensembl.